This 421-nucleotide ribosomal RNA is filed under the name uncultured bacterium. RNAcentral's name for it is "partial 16S ribosomal RNA". It matches the Rfam family "Bacterial small subunit ribosomal RNA", at positions 360 to 773 of the family's 1533-position model. The record is from RNAcentral.
AAUAUUUGACAAUGGUGGCAACCCUGAUACAGCCAUCCUGCGUGUGCGAUGAAGGCCUACGGGUUGUAAAGCACUUUUUGCAGGGAAGAAAUGGCUCUGGCUAAUACCUGGAGCUGCUGACGGUACCUGCAGAAUAAGCACCGGCUAACUACCUGCCAGCAGCCGCGGUAAUACGUAGGGUGCAAGCGUUAAUCGGAAUUACUGGGCGUAAAGCGUGCGCAGGCGGUUCGGCAAGAAGGAUGUGAAAUCCCAGGGCUUAACCUUGGAACUGCAUUCUUAACUGCCGGGCUAGAGUAUGUCAGAGGGGGGUAGAAUUCCGCGUGUAGCAGUGAAAUGCGUAGAGAUGCGGAGGAAUACCGAUGGCGAAGGCAGCCCCCUGGGAUAAUACUGACGCUCAUGCACGAAAGCGUGGGGAGCAAAC